Molecule: ribosomal RNA, 768 nt
Filed under: uncultured Arcobacter sp.
Lineage: Bacteria; Pseudomonadati; Campylobacterota; Epsilonproteobacteria; Campylobacterales; Arcobacteraceae
Description: bacterial SSU rRNA
Rfam family: Bacterial small subunit ribosomal RNA
Source: RNAcentral
GUAGGCGGGUAGUUAAGUCAGAAGUGAAAUCCAAUAGCUCAACUAUUGAACUGCUUUUGAAACUGAUUACCUAGAAUAUGGGAGAGGUAGAUGGAAUUUCUGGUGUAGGGGUAAAAUCCGUAGAGAUCAGAAGGAAUACCGAUUGCGAAGGCGAUCUACUGGAACAUUAUUGACGCUGAGACGCGAAAGCGUGGGGAGCAAACAGGGUUAGAUACCCUGGUAGUCCACGCCCUAAACGAUGUACACUAGUUGUUGUGAGGCUCGACCUUGCAGUAAUGCAGUUAACACAUUAAGUGUACCGCCUGGGGAGUACGGUCGCAAGAUUAAAACUCAAAGGAAUAGACGGGGACCCGCACAAGCGGUGGAGCAUGUGGUUUAAUUCGACGAUACACGAAGAACCUUACCUGGACUUGACAUAGUAAGAACUUUCUAGAGAUAGAUUGGUGUCUGCUUGCAGAAACUUAUAUACAGGUGCUGCACGGCUGUCGUCAGCUCGUGUCGUGAGAUGUUGGGUUAAGUCCCGCAACGAGCGCAACCCUCGUCAUUAGUUGCUAACAGUUCGGCUGAGAACUCUAAUGAGACUGCCUACGCAAGUAGGAGGAAGGUGAGGACGACGUCAAGUCAUCAUGGCCCUUACGUCCAGGGCUACACACGUGCUACAAUGGGGUGUACAAAGAGCCGCAAUACGGUGACGUGGAGCAAAUCUCAAAAAUAUCUCCCAGUUCGGAUUGUAGUCUGCAACUCGACUACAUGAAGUUGGAAUCGCUA